Long non-coding RNA from Austrofundulus limnaeus, 353 nucleotides. RefSeq lists it as uncharacterized. NCBI's taxonomy places the organism in Eukaryota, Metazoa, Chordata, Actinopteri, Cyprinodontiformes, Rivulidae. The record is from RefSeq and is a predicted model, not a curated record. The transcript has 3 exons.
UCAUUGAGACAGCUCCAUGGGGAGAAGACUCCAGCACCAUAGACAACCAGAUUACAACCCACAUCAAAUUUCACAGCUCCAUGCAAAGAAGCUCAGAAGUAGAACGAGCCAAAAGGGCACUGAUGUCAACAGGUGGAAAGUACCAACUCUCCCUCUUGGAACAAGAAUGGGACAACCUGCAGAUUUUUUUUGUGGCAGAAAUUGUCCCACAGUCGCUUGAGUCAGCUACGGGAGCUUCAGAACAUCAUCGAUGAGAUCUUUCAAGCCAUCAUGUGGGUGAAUGACAGAGAGGAAGAGGAGCUGGUCUUUGACUGGGGAGACAAGAAUAUUGACCAGUACAUCCCCAAGAAGCA